Long non-coding RNA from Anguilla rostrata (American eel), 1624 nucleotides. RefSeq lists it as uncharacterized. The record is from RefSeq and is a predicted model, not a curated record. NCBI's taxonomy places the organism in Eukaryota, Metazoa, Chordata, Actinopteri, Anguilliformes, Anguillidae. The transcript is spliced from 2 exons.
UACGAGCUCUUGAACCUUGGGCUCCUCCGCAGAUUCUCGUGUGGCACACCAGGACAGAAAAGCCCGUCCUCGUCAACGAGGGGAAGAAGGGAUUCACGGACCCCGACGUGGAGAUCUGACGCCGCCGCUAACACCGGUACUUUAUUUGGCUGGACCUUCAGGGGGUUGAACUCCAGCAGCCAUUUUGGACAAGCCUGGCAGGAAAGAACUGUAUUGCCGGGCGACUCCAUUUCAGGGACCGCAGAGUACUAGGGAGAAGAAUCCCUCGACCAUAACAAUGUUAACUAAAAACAAAAUACAAACACUUACAAUGACCGUGAUGUACAAAAUAAAUGCACUGUAAGUAAAGCACAGAUUAGUCCAAGAAGGCAAUAUUUAUUAAUUUUUAGUGUUGAAAUGAAAUGCGAUGUAAUAAUAACAGACUGAAGACCCAGUCAGGGGCAAGUGCAUCUCAAAAGGGCCGCAGAGUGUGCUUGGUUUUUUUGUGGGGUUUGGGGGUGGGUUAAUAUAUGUAUUUUUAUUUUUGGGCAAUUUUUUUGUUCUUCUUUUUUAUAUCUGCAUGGUGUGAUACUGUGACAAUUUCCAGCAUCCAAUCCUGUGAACGAGCGACGCCCCUCCCACACAGAAGGCAAACAGAAUCGAUGUCACUCACCCAGGAGCUGACCAAUCAGAGUGCAUCUCCAACUGUCACCCAUUCAUUCGUCAUUUGGCUGGCCGUGCCCUGACCUCACUUUUGGGGUUUGGGUGGGAAGGGGGGGUGGGGGGGGGGGGCAGCACAAGAGAAAGAGAUGCUUGUUUGGAGUGAGUCAGCAGCUAUGAAUGGACUGGAGGAAAACAACCAAACAACCAUCGGCCCUCAAUCCUGAAAAAAGAGGCACAGCACCAGCCCCCCCCCCCACCGAAAAAAGAGGCACAGCACCAGCCAAACCCCCCCCCCCCCAACCUGACAUGUGACAUCCGCUGGGGACCAGGACACCUGCUAGUCUUUUGGCACAUAAAGGUUUUUUUUUUUUUUUUUUAAAGGGAAGGGUUGCUUUUAGCUUUACUUAGCCUCCCUAAACCUCUUAAUUGCUUUCUUUUUGUUCCAUGUUUACACGCGGUUGUCCAAUACUACUGAAUCCUGUCUUGAUUUCAGACUUUGGUCUGGGGUACAGGGUCCUGGGUCAUGUGAAGAAUUCCUUCAUCAGAUGUCUACUGAAACUGGUGCCACCCUUAAACCAUGGCACGCCUCUGAUAUUUAUGAAAUUUGUAAAUUUGCUUCUACUGACUUUGUUUCACGAUAAUGCGGGGCAGGUUUCCAGAACGUGGCUUGACAUUUUGCUGCAUUAGAGAUAAUUCGUCUCUGCUAUGAUUCACACACUCACGCUUCUCUGACACUUGAACACUUGUUUUUUUUUUGUUUUUUGUUAAAGUGUUCAUUUAUUUCACCGUUCAGUUCGAGAGGGAAAGUGAAAGAUCAAUAAAUGCUACAGGCCACCGUUUACGAACAAGUAGCCAUUCCCUUGUUUUAAGCUUGUCUUGAAUUUUCCUACGGAUUAAGAAAUGACUGCAGUCCUCUUGUAAUGUGUCACAUGUGCUUGCUUCACCCGAACUUAUAAACAGAAAACCUGGCAAUUUGCACGUC